Drosophila ananassae is the source of this 1116-nucleotide long non-coding RNA. RefSeq lists it as uncharacterized. The record is from RefSeq and is a predicted model, not a curated record. Lineage: Eukaryota; Metazoa; Arthropoda; Insecta; Diptera; Drosophilidae. The transcript has 3 exons.
UUAUUUGUAAGUGAGGUUUUAUUUUCCAUCCCGUCAUUGGAAUCCCUUCAUUUCUACAAUGAAGUUGGCUUUAAUAGUCCUUUCUGUACUGUCCUUCGUGGGGGUGUCCUUUAGUGUAAAGAAUCGAAUCUGCAGCGAAUUGCCAGUUUAUGAGGGAAAGUGUCCCAUUUUGCAGCGGGGCUUUACUUUUUCUUAUUUUACUAAAACCUGUGUUCCUACGGAAGGACAAUGUAAGGCCAGUGGGAAUUUCUUUAGGAAAAUUAAAGAUUGUGUGUCCAAAUGUGAAUAAUUAAAGAAAAUAAUGUAUAACUAUAUUUUUACAUUAUUAUUUGCCACAGGAAAAAGAUUAAAUAAUUUAAAUUUGUAGAUUUUUGUGCAAUUAAUGGAGAAAUAAUCUAAAAAAAUAAUUUCUGCUCAAUAAUGAGUGGUAAAAUGUAAAAAUUAUUGAGUGAAACAAUUAAUUAUUCAUUUAAAAUUAAAAUCUUUAAGGUAUUCCGCUCAAUAAUCGGUUAAAAAAUUGGCGCAGAUAUGGAUAUGGGUAGGGAUAUAUUGUUUAAUUUCUCAUUACGCCAAAAUAUUAAUUUAAACUGUUAAAUGACCAAAUCUAAUGAGAUUAUAUUUCAAAAAUUGUAUAAAAAAUAAUAGAAGUAAUAUGCCAAAUCGGAAAUAUUUAGUUAUGGAUAUUUAAUUUAUUAAAAAACCAUUUAUAAGUGAGGUUUUAUUUUCCAUUCCGUCAUUACUAAAAUGAAGUUGGCUUUAAUAUUCCUGUUUGUAUUGUCCCUUGUUGGGAUGUCCUUUGGUUUAAAGGAUCCAAUUUGCGAGAAAUUGCCAGCUUAUGAGGGGCGUUGUGCUAUGCUUGACCAUGGCUAUACUUAUUUUUCCCAUACCAAAAGAUGUGUUCCUACCCAUGGACCAUGUAGAGGCAUUGGGAAUUUCUUUAGAACAAAAGAAGAUUGUCUCGCAAAAUGUGCCUAAUUAAAGGAAAUAAUUGUUCUUCAAUAUUAUUAUUGAAAAAUCAUCUUAUACUAUACUAUAUAUAGUGAUCUGUGAAAGGUUUCAAUCCGAAACAAAAUCAAUUUCGUGUGAAUAAUGAAAUAAAAAGUAUCAUUUAAAUAA